AUUCAGAUUUGCAGGGCACUAUUUUAGGGUUUCCCUGGCUGAUGUUGAUCCAGACCUCUAACCUCUGAGGCACAGGAGCUGGCAGUGCCUGGAUGGGAACUCAGCAUGGUGGCCAUCUGUCCCCAGGAGUGAUGGGAUUUAUUUUGUCCCUUGAAAUGUGAGAUCAAUCCAAGGUGCCCGAGAGGAUACUGGAGAAGGUUCAUCUGAGAUUCAUUUUUCCAGCUCCGGCAAGUUUGUUUCUACUGUAGCUGUGCUGGAAAUUACCCUGCAAGUGUUUAUAAUCCUGUCCUACUGUGAAGGACUCCAUGUAGGAUGCGUUACUCAGAUGAAGGAAG
Molecule: long non-coding RNA, 335 nt
Organism: Calidris pugnax (ruff)
Lineage: Eukaryota; Metazoa; Chordata; Aves; Charadriiformes; Scolopacidae
Exons: 3
Source: RefSeq, a predicted model, not a curated record